Molecule: long non-coding RNA, 1050 nt
Organism: Dendrobium catenatum
Lineage: Eukaryota; Viridiplantae; Streptophyta; Magnoliopsida; Asparagales; Orchidaceae
Exons: 5
Source: RefSeq, a predicted model, not a curated record
ACCCCGCUGAAGCCCUAAUUCCGAGCGCGCGAACUAAAUUUUGCGAAUCGUCUCUUGAGCCCGCCUCUUCUCCUUCCUGCGUGCGACUCAAGCGGUGAUUUUGCGAAUCGUCUCCGGAGCCCUCUUCUCCUUCCUGCGGUGCGACUCAAGCGGCGAGUAGUUGACUGUUGGAUCUGUGGUGACCCCCACUCGAUUCUCUGUUUUGCAUUCGUAGAGUUUGCCGAUGAGGAGGGUGCUAGAGCAGCUUUGAGUAUUGGUGGAACCAUGCUAGGUUACUAUCCUGUCAAAGUUUUACCUUCAAAAACUGCAAUUUUGCCGAAGAAACAGGAGGCUGCUAUCAAACUACAUAAUGAAGGCAAGCAAGAUGUGGAAAAUACUUUUUCUAAUUGCAAGGACCAGCAGGCACUCAGUAGAGGGGUUAAAUCUUGCUCUGAUAAUGAGAAAAUUGAUAGUGAGAUUCAUGUGAUAGAUAAUAAACCUAUGUUGAUGCUUCAUUGCAUUAAUUCAGAUGUCCUUUCUGAAGGCAAGGCUUGUGAGUCCACCUGUUUAAGUCUUGGAAUAAUGGGAUUCUAAAAACCUUUUUUUAUUAGGGUGUUUGAGCCAGACAUAUAUAUAAUUCUCCAGUGACGAAGGUAUCAUGGGAUUCUAAAAACCUUUUUUUAUUAGGGUGUUUGAGCCAGAAUUAUUUCAACUCAUGAUAGAAAUGGUCUUGUAACAGAUAUUUCAUCCCAUACAUGAUCAAUCUUUCUAUUUGUCAAUGGAUCACAAAAGGAAACUUAAGGAGGAAUAUGGAAUUGAGUCAUGGUCGUUUGUGCAGAAACUUGGAGAAGCUGUAUUCAUCCCAGCAGGAUGCCCACAUCAAGUUAGAAACUUGAAGGUAUGCUAAUUAGGAGAUUUUAAGUUGUGUUAACUUUAUGCAUUAUUUUGAUCAUUGACUAGCAUUAAGCACUGUUUUUUGUUUGUUCACUUAAGUUCUUCUUCCAUCUGAAUUUUCAUGUAAGUUUAUGAUCCAUCGACCCUCUUCUUAAUUUAAUUUUCUUGCUGUAGAUA